GAUCACUUUCCCAGUUUUCAAUCCUUUGUUUUUUCCCAAGAAAAUUGGAAUUUGGGUUGUUUGAGUUCUACCUUAAAAAGUGAUUUAAAACGAGAUUUCCAAUAAACACUAUUUUCCAAUUUGGGGCAGGACUCCUGAGAUGGAGUGCUGUGAUUUUAUUUUCAAAAGCUCUGGAAAGUGUGUUAUUUUACUAGCAGCUUGAAAGCACAUUUGGAAAAAAUAAACAGCGGUGAGUAGUCUAUCCGAUUGGAGUCUCUGUUUCAUGACGUAAAUUGAUCAUUUAUUCACGCAUUGUUCGAAAGUUAAUAUGCAAUCAUACACUAAUCGAAUUUGUGCAGUUUGUGGAGAUACACCGGCUAAGAUUCAUUAUGGCGUUCUAGCUUGUUUUGGAUGUAAAGGUUUUUUCCGGAGAGCAGUAAAAGACGGACGAAACAAAUAUGUUUGUAGAUUUGAGAAAAAUUGUGAAGUUACCAAAUUUGAAAGAAAUGCCUGCCGAUACUGCCGUUUCAGAAAAUGCCUUCUUGUCGGAAUGAACCCAGAUUAUGUUCGACCAGAUCGAGAAAAAAGUAAAAAAGGAAAAACAGUGUUAUCAAAAAAGAAAAGUGUGUCUCGAAGUUUGUCAUAUCGACUAGCAGAUCCUUCUGAUUGGACAUCAUUUUUAUCUCCAUCAUCACGAAAACAACUUUCUGAAAUUGGAAAACUCGCCGAAACAUGUUCAACUUCAACUAAUUUUGAUGGAAUAGGAAAUUUUUCACUGAAAAGUUUAAUAGCUGAUCGUUCAUUGGCACGGAAAACUGGAGAUUCUGAAGCCAUGGAUUGUUCAAAUUCACCCAGACAGUUGAAUGAACAAUUUUUGGGAAUAGAGAGAAUUGUGCAAUGUGUCGAUUACAUUGAUCGAUUUUUGGUCAUGUUGGAAGAAGAACACUGUAGAAAGUUUAGUGUUGAAGAUAAGAGCGCAUUGAUAAGUGAUACAAUGAUUCAUUUGCUGCUCUUCGAGUCCACUUCAAGAUUUGUUGCAAAAGGAGCACCUGGGCUGGAAGAUCUGAAAUUGUCACUUGCACAACUUCCAAUAUGUACAACUCAUUUAACUCAGAAAAUUGCGGAUGUUUUCGAAACUUACCUGAGAAAGCCUCCAUCAAUAAUUGAAUAUUCAGUAUUGAAAGCAUAUAUUGUAUUGUCAGCUGAGAGUACAGUGUUGUCAAACUCAUUGAAUGAAAGCCUUUCGUUGGCUCGAGAGAAUUUAUCAGAACUUUUGUUCAAAGUUAUCAAACACAGUAGAAACAAGACUUCAAUAUCAGCAGCAAACAGUUUAUCAACUAUUCUUCAUUUUGUUUAUGAAUCCCGGAAUCUGGCAUCUCGAAUUCGACAAUCUCAGCAACCAUUUUUUGUCCGGGAUUCUGAUCCCAAGAUCCCAUUCCACAAAAUUCUCACCGACAUAAUAAAUCCAGAAGUAUCAGAUCUUCUGCUGACAACUGCUAACUGUCGUAAAUUAUCAACUCAAAUGGGAUCAUCACUUUCAUCAGUUCCACCAGUUCCUCCACCAUCUGAUACAGUUCCUUUAUUCCAUUUCUCACCUCCAUCAUUGUCUCCUUGUCAAAUCAGUGCACCUCCACCGCCACAACAACAGUACACAGAUUAUUCUCAAAUGCCGUCUACCUCUUCUUAUCCAGCAAAUUCAAGUCCUUUCCAAUCUCCAUACCGCCCGAAUUCACUCUCAUCAUUUCCGAAAAUUCCUCUUGAAAUGACAAAAUCAAUUGAAGAAUUUCUUCGUCCAAAUGGAAUGACAACUGAUGAAAUGAACAAACCAUUGGAAAAAAAUUGGGCAGAUGGAUUCAGAUUGACUCCAGUUUUUAAUAAAGAUAUUGUCUCUCAAUUUUUCCCCGAACUUUCUAAUAUUAAUCAACAUCACCCUUUUUAA
This 1918-nucleotide unclassified non-coding RNA is filed under the name Caenorhabditis elegans. Its description in RNAcentral is "Non-coding transcript of protein-coding gene nhr-7". The record is from RNAcentral. Lineage: Eukaryota; Metazoa; Nematoda; Chromadorea; Rhabditida; Rhabditidae.